RNAcentral lists this long non-coding RNA (288 nucleotides) under Oncorhynchus mykiss (rainbow trout). Its description in RNAcentral is "lncRNA (ENSOMYG00000048813.1)". The record is from RNAcentral. Lineage: Eukaryota; Metazoa; Chordata; Actinopteri; Salmoniformes; Salmonidae.
AUUAUGUAUUUGUGCUGCACUGUUGUUCAAGCCAUCAUUGGGUCAAAAAUAAUGUCAAUUUUUAAAUCUCUGCCUUUCCAGGUCAACAAGUUCAAUCCAAUGGGAGAUGUUUUAGGAUCUGGGAUGGGAGUGAACAUCCUAGUGUGGAACAGAGGGGAGACAUUGGCUGGUAAGCAGCAGAGAGGAGAGCUACAACAGGAAGCAGGAGUCCAGGUUGGCAGAGGUCGAGACCAGCGGAGGAGAAGAGGGGAGACUCGGAGGGGGGGAGGGGCGGGGGGGAGAGGAUGA